GCCUUCGUGGAUCAUGGUAGAUCAUCGCCGCCCGGUGUUACCGUGGCUUUGAGGUACAAGAGGAGACGGAGGUUCGAUUCCUCCUGGAGGCA
Molecule: non-coding RNA, 92 nt
Organism: Mycena metata
Lineage: Eukaryota; Fungi; Basidiomycota; Agaricomycetes; Agaricales; Mycenaceae
Source: the annotation of a GenBank genome assembly